RNAcentral lists this ribosomal RNA (90 nucleotides) under uncultured beta proteobacterium. Its description in RNAcentral is "partial 16S ribosomal RNA". The record is from RNAcentral. Lineage: Bacteria; Pseudomonadati; Pseudomonadota; Betaproteobacteria. RNAcentral also lists the same sequence under 1 other name.
UACGGGAGGCGGCAGUGGGGAAUUUUGGAGAAUGCACAAGGCCUGUCCAGCAAGGCGCGCCGGGAUGAAGGGCUCGGGUUGUAAACUGCU